This 810-nucleotide ribosomal RNA is filed under the name uncultured crenarchaeote. Its description in RNAcentral is "bacterial SSU rRNA". It matches the Rfam family "Archaeal small subunit ribosomal RNA", at positions 111 to 922 of the family's 1478-position model. The record is from RNAcentral. Lineage: Archaea; Thermoproteati; Thermoproteota.
AACCUAUGGACGGGAAUAACCUCGGGAAACUGAGUAUAAUGCCCGAUAGAACACUAUACCUGGAAUGGUUUGUGUUCCAAAUGAUUUAUCGCCGUAGGAUGGGACUGCGGCCUAUCAGUUUGUUGGUGAGGUAAUGGCCCACCAAGACUAUUACAGGUACGGGCUCUGAGAGGAGUAGCCCGGAGAUGGGUACUGAGACACGGACCCAGGCCCUAUGGGGCGCAGCAGGCGAGAAAACUUUGCAAUGUGCGAAAGCACGACAAGGUUAAUCCGAGUGGUUUCUGCUAAAGAAACCUUUUGUCGGUCCUAGAAACACCGAUGAAUAAGGGGUGGGCAAGUUCUGGUGUCAGCCGCCGCGGUAAAACCAGCACCUCAAGUGGUCAGGAUGAUUAUUGGGCCUAAAGCAUCCGUAGCCGGCUCUGUAAGUUUUCGGUUAAAUCUGUACGCUCAACGUACAGGCUGCCGGGAAUACUGCAGAGCUAGGGAGUGGGAGAGGUAGACGGUACUCGGUAGGAAGGGGUAAAAUCCUUUGAUCUAUUGAUGACCACCUGUGGCGAAGGCGGUCUACCAGAACACGUCCGACGGUGAGGGAUGAAAGCUGGGGGAGCAAACCGGAUUAGAUACCCGGGUAGUCCCAGCUGUAAACUAUGCAAACUCAGUGAUGCAUUGGCUUGUGGCCAAUGCAGUGCUGCAGGGAAGCCGUUAAGUUUGCCGCCUGGGAAGUACGUACGCAAGUAUGAAACUUAAAGGAAUUGGCGGGGGAGCACCACAAGGGGUGAAGCCUGCGGUUCAAUUGGAGUCAACGCCGGG